AUGGAAGCAGACAAGAAACCGCGCUUGCCCCGGUCACCGUGGUCAGACCUCCCGCUGGACAUAGGAGGCCUGGUGUUCAGCCGGCUCCCCCGGUACGCUGACCGCACCGCCUUUGCUCUGGUGUGCCCGCAGUGGCGUGACGCCGCGAGGCAGCAGGUCCUGACCCUGCCACUGCCGGUGCUCGCGCUCCCAGACGGCACCUUCUACAGCAUCUUCUACCCUAAGCUCUAUUCCUUCCCUGGCUGCGGUUUCGCGGGGUACGAGAGUGUCUGUGGCAGCUGGCUCGUCUUCCCACGUGACGACGGCUGCUUCCUGGUCAAUCCCUUCUCCAGGGCCAGCUUCAUGCUCCCUGCUCUCUCCAGUGUCCGACUCCGGCCUCCAAAUGCAGUCGCUAAGUGGUCACUCGAGGAUGGGUCACAAGUUGCUGACCCUUACACCACAUGGAUGCAUAUCAAUACAUCGGAAAAGCUGCACAUAAGUAAGCUACUCCUGUGCUCGCCAAACCUUGUUGCUGCACUGGUUGGCACUGGACACACCAGCCAGAUUCUAAUGUGCCAGCCAGGGGCCUCGUCGUGGUCAGUACGUGCUUACGAUCAGUGUAAGGGGUUCGAAGACAUGGCAUUCUACCAGGGCAAGCUCUACGCCAUUGCCAAUGACGAGAACCUCCUUGUGGUGAACAUCAGCCAGGACCAUAGCACCGGCGAUCCACAGGUUUCUCGGAUUAGACAAAUCAUCAAGGGUGAGCCAUGGUAUCCAGCUGUGUCCGAGGACAACACUAUGUGCUGCAAGAAGCUUUACCUGGUUGAAUCGCAUGGGGUGUUGCUGAUGGCACGAAGGGCGAUCUUGUGCCGGGUACCUGGACCUGGAGCAGUGCCCAGUGAAGUAGUUCCUGGAAUGAGCGGGUUUGAGGUUUUCAAGGCCGACCUUGAGCAUUCACAGUGGGUCAAGGUGUCGACCGUGGGGGAUGACCAACUGCUGUUUCUAGGGCGAAGGUGCUCCAGGGCCAUGUCUGUGUCUCAGUACGGGUUGCCCGGUGAUUAUAUCCUCUUCUUGGAUGAUGAUGAGGAGAAUCGUAUGGACUAUUGCUACGACAGGGAGAACACUUCUUUCGGCGCCUAUAAAAUGGGAUCCGACGGUGUCCUUUUCCCUCAUCCCUAUAUUUCCUGGAAGCUUUGCGAUGAGAUGCGUCUGGCUGCAUGGCUCUUCCCCCGGGACCGAUGA
RNAcentral lists this ribosomal RNA (1221 nucleotides) under Triticum aestivum (bread wheat). Its description in RNAcentral is "partial small subunit ribosomal RNA". Lineage: Eukaryota; Viridiplantae; Streptophyta; Magnoliopsida; Poales; Poaceae. The record is from RNAcentral.